AACAAACGCUGGCGGCGUGCCUAACACAUGCAAGUCGUACGAGAAAGUCGGCUUCGGCCGAUGAGUACAGUGGCGCACGGGUGAGUAGCGCGUGGGUAAUCUGCCCCCCGGUCAGGAAUAACCCGCCGAAAGGCGGGCUAAUACCCGAUAACACUGACGCUCCGCGGAGCGUCUUUCAAAGAAGGCCUCUGUUUACAAGCUUUCGCCGGAGGAUGAGCCCGCGUACCAUUAGCUAGUUGGCAGGGUAAUGGCCUACCAAGGCUACGAUGGUUAGCUGGUCUGAGAGGAUGGCCAGCCACACUGGAACUGAGACACGGUCCAGACUCCUACGGGAGGCAGCAGUGAGGAAUAUUGCGCAAUGGGGGCAACCCUGACGCAGCAACGCCGCGUGAGUGAGGAAGGUUUUCGGACCGUAAAGCUCUGUCGAGCGGGAAGAAAUGUAUCGUGGCUAAUAUCCAUGAUAUUUGACGGUACCGCUAAAGGAAGCACCGGCUAACUCCGUG
Molecule: ribosomal RNA, 503 nt
Filed under: uncultured bacterium
Lineage: Bacteria
Description: bacterial SSU rRNA
Rfam family: Bacterial small subunit ribosomal RNA
Source: RNAcentral